CUCUCUUAUUUGCAUGGUGAUUUUCUACAUACAAAUGAUACUCUUAUUUGCAUGGUGAAGUUCUACAUAUAAAUGAUACUCUUAUUUGCAUGGUGAAGUUCUACAUAUAAAUUAUACUCUUAUUUGCAUGGUGAAGUUCUACAUACGAUGAAACUUCUACAUACAAAUGAGGAGUUCUACAUACAAAUAACGCUGCAUGGCAAAUGAUAAGCUUUGUUAGUUUUACAAUGACACUCAUAUAUAUUUGCAUUGACUUGAAACCACUCCCUUUUUCAUCUAUAAGGAAGGGCUCGGAUGAAAAAGGGAAGGUUGGAAUACAAUUAGAACAAACCACUAUAACUACAUAAUGUGUGGGUGUUUAUUCAGCUUUGAUCCCAGACCGUCAGAAAAUGUAUUUUAUACUCGAGGCUAUAUAGCAACAGAAAUAGUACAUGCGUGAGUAGGACGUUAACAAUAACAUUGUGGGAGCGUGACAUUCUUCACGCAUGCCCCUAUAGGACAACUGUAAAUUUAUUGAAGGAGGACACAAUUAACAUUAUAGUAUAGACGGACAUUUUAAUUAACAUAUCAACUACGUGUUGGACACGCCCGCUCAUGUGGCAAUCUUUUUUGGUCACUAAGUGGGCGUGUCCAAUAAUGGAGUUAAAAAAAUUACUCUCUCCCCUGAGCCUUUUCUUAGGUGAAAAGGGGAGUAGUUUCCAGUUUAGCAAAUUAACUAUGCAAAUGCGAGAGUAUCAUUUGUAUGUAGAGCUUCACCAUGCAAAUGAGAGUAUCAUUUGUAUGUAGAACUUCACCAUGUAAAUGAGAGUAUCAUUUGUAUGAUUGUAGAACUUCACCAUGCAGAUGAGAGUAUCAUUUGUAUGUAGAACUUCCCCAUGCAAAUGAGAGUAUCAUUUGUAUGUAGAACUUCCCCAUGCAAAUGAGAGUAUCAUUUGUAUGUAGAACUUCACCAUGCAAAUAAGAGAGAGCGCGUCAUUUGUAUGUAGAACUUCACUAUGCAAAUGAUUUUAGUACUAAAUAAACAGAGCUGGAGGUUUUGGCACUGAUCACCCCCCAUAACCUAUGUCGUACCUCCUCUGUAAACUGGCCAUUAAAGACAGAAGGUUAGCCGAGGUCAGAGUUUACAAAUUUCAUUAAAGAUGGGCGUGGUGUUAUCAUUUUUCUGCCAAGAAGCUGAGCAGUUAUUGAGUAUUUAUGAUUCUCUAGUACCUAGAGGUAUUGUAGCCUCGAUCCCAGGCUGCAUGCACUUUUCUCAAGGCCUAUGAGGAGGCUAGGAGUAUUGUAGCCAUGCUUACGUAGGUAUCCACUUAAUACCGUAAUUGAUGUAAUUACAGCGCCACCAUAAUUUAAGCGCCACGUCAGCAUCAGCAUAAUUUUUUAGGACCUAAAAAAGCGCCAACCAUUGCUGGAAUUAUUUCUUUCUGGCGCUUAUAAAAAGGUUUGUUUUGAGACAUCAAGACAAUCAUCCUGCAUCUUUGACGUCCUUCACUUCUAAACAGUUGUCUAACCCAUAGCUACAGUCAAUGAAUGUUGUUCACGAGCGUAACGGUGCAGCUAGCAAGUGAAACUGAGCUAGACCACGCCCAUUUUCUCUAUACUAGCUGUUGAACAUAAACGCCACCAUAAUUUAGGCGCCAGCUUGGGCUGAACGCAAUUUUUUGUGUUGUAAAGAUGCGCCACUCAGAAGUGGAAUUAAUUUUUUCUGGCGCUGUAAUUACAUCAAUUACGGUAUUGUUGACAGGAUUGUCUUCUUUCAAAUCAGAUGCAGAGGCACGUACAUACCCUUGGCUCAAUUGAGAAACUGAUGGUGGAGUCAGUGGAUCCCGUCGGACAUUAAUUAAACCCCCUCAUCGACAGUUCACUGUUUCUAUCACCACACCCUGCAUGUUUAUCAUUAAUGUUAUAAAUUA
Halichondria panicea is the source of this 1910-nucleotide long non-coding RNA. RefSeq lists it as uncharacterized. NCBI's taxonomy places the organism in Eukaryota, Metazoa, Porifera, Demospongiae, Suberitida, Halichondriidae. The record is from RefSeq and is a predicted model, not a curated record. The transcript is spliced from 2 exons.